This 83-nucleotide microRNA precursor is filed under the name Megaselia scalaris. RNAcentral describes it as "mir-124 microRNA precursor family". It matches the Rfam family "mir-124 microRNA precursor family". From Rfam's summary of the family: The mature ~21nt miRNAs are processed from hairpin precursor sequences represented here, in this case originating from the 3' arm. The bounds of the precursors are predicted based on conservation and base pairing and are not generally known. Lineage: Eukaryota; Metazoa; Arthropoda; Insecta; Diptera; Phoridae. The record is from RNAcentral.
GUUUUUCUCCUGGCAAACACUGUAGGCCUGUAUGUCCUUUCUGAACUAGCAUAAGGCACGCGGUGAAUGCCAAGAGCGAACGA